GACGUAGGAGGCGAGCGUUGUCCGGAUUCAUUGGGCGUAAAGAGCGCGCAGGCGGCUUGGUAAGUCGGAUGUGAAAACCCGAGGCUCAACCUCGGGCGUGCAUCUGAAACUGCUCGGCUAGAGGUAGGUAGGGGAGAUCGGAAUUCCUGGUGUAGCGGUGAAAUGCGCAGAUAUCAGGAGGAACACCGGUGGCGAAGGCGGAUCUCUGGGCCUUACCUGACGCUCAGGCGCGAAAGCUAGGGGAGCGAACUGG
This 253-nucleotide ribosomal RNA is filed under the name uncultured bacterium. RNAcentral's name for it is "partial 16S ribosomal RNA". It matches the Rfam family "Bacterial small subunit ribosomal RNA", at positions 524 to 776 of the family's 1533-position model. The record is from RNAcentral.